This 676-nucleotide ribosomal RNA is filed under the name marine gamma proteobacterium LHAT4. RNAcentral's name for it is "bacterial SSU rRNA". It matches the Rfam family "Bacterial small subunit ribosomal RNA", at positions 31 to 683 of the family's 1533-position model. The record is from RNAcentral. Lineage: Bacteria; Pseudomonadati; Pseudomonadota; Gammaproteobacteria.
GAACGCUGGCGGCAGGCCUAACACAUGCAAGUCGAGCGGAAACGACACUAACAAUCCUUCGGGUGCGUUAAUGGGCGUCGAGCGGCGGACGGGUGAGUAAUGCCUAAGAAAUUGCCUUGNUGUGGGGGAUAACCAUUGGAAACCAUGGCUAAUACCGCAUGAUGCCUACGGGCCAAAGAGGGGGACCUUCGGGCCUCUCGCGUCAAGAUAUGCCUAGGUGGGAUUAGCUAGUUGGUGAGGUAAUGGCUCACCAAGGCGACGAUCCCUAGCUGGUCUGAGAGGAUGAUCAGCCACACUGGAACUGAGACACGGUCCANACUCCUACGGGAGGCAGCAGUGGGGAAUAUUGCACAAUGGGCGAAAGCCUGAUGCAGCCAUGCCGCGUGUAUGAAGAAGGCCUUCGGGUUGUAAAGUACUUUCAGUUGUGAGGAAGGGUGUGUAGUUAAUAGCUGCGCAUCUUGACGUUAGCAACAGAAGAAGCACCGGCUAACUCCGUGCCAGCAGCCGCGGUAAUACGGAGGGUGCGAGCGUUAAUCGGAAUUACUGGGCGUAAAGCGCAUGCAGGUGGUUCAUUAAGUCANAUGUGAAAGCCCGGGGCUCAACCUCGGAACUGCAUUUGAAACUGGUGAACUAGAGUUNCUGUAGANGGGGGUAGAAAUUUCAGGUGUANCCGGUG